CGAGCGGGUGAUGCGGUCGCUCGGCCCUUCGGGACCGGGAGGAAAGUCCGAACUCCACAGGGCACGAUGGUCGCUAACGGCGACCGGCCGCAAGGCCAGGGAAAGUGCAACAGAGAGCAGACCGCCGAUGGCCCGUCCUCGCUUCGGCGAAGGCGGGAUCAGGCAAGGGUGAAACGGUGCGGUAAGAGCGCACCGCCCGCCUGGCGACAGGCGGGGCACGGCAAACCCCAUCGGGAGCAAGGCCAAAUAGGGGGCGAGGAACGGCCCGUUCCGUUCUCCGAAAGGGGAUAAGCCCCGGGUUGGCUGCUAGAGUCGCGCGGCAACGCGCGACCCAGACAAAUGGCCGCACCCGCCGUCGCCUCGGCUUGCCGGGGCUGGGGCGGGCACAGGAUUCGGCUUACGGCCCGCUCGCCGG
Molecule: RNase P RNA, 415 nt
Filed under: Planctomycetota bacterium
Lineage: Bacteria; Pseudomonadati; Planctomycetota
Description: RNase P RNA component class A
Rfam family: Bacterial RNase P class A
About the family: Ribonuclease P (RNase P) is a ubiquitous endoribonuclease, found in archaea, bacteria and eukarya as well as chloroplasts and mitochondria.
Source: RNAcentral